GUGGGGAAUAUUCCGCAAUGGACGAAAGUCUGACGGAGCAACGCCGCGUGAGUGAUGAAGGUUUUCGGACUGUAAAGCUCUGUUGUUUAGGACGAAAGUGCCUGUUGCGAAUAGUUACAGGUAUUGACGGUACUGAACGAGGAAGCCACGGCUAACUACGUGCCAGCAGCCGCGGUAAUACGUAGGUGGCAAGCGUUGUCCGGAAUUAUUGGGCGUAAAGAGCAUGUAGGCGGGAAUCUAAGUCUGUUGUGAAAAUGCGGGGCUCAACCCCGUAUUGCGAUGGAAACUGGGUUUCUUGAGUGCAGGAGAGGAAAGGGGAAUUCCCAGUGUAGCGGUGAAAUGCGUAGAUAUUGGGAGGAACACCAGUGGCGAAGGCGCCUUUCUGGACUGUGUCUGACGCUGAGAUGCGAAAGCCAGGGUAGCGAACGGGAUUAGAUACCCUAGUAGUCC
This 450-nucleotide ribosomal RNA is filed under the name uncultured bacterium. Its description in RNAcentral is "partial 16S ribosomal RNA". It matches the Rfam family "Bacterial small subunit ribosomal RNA", at positions 354 to 796 of the family's 1533-position model. The record is from RNAcentral.